AUUCCUAAAAGUAUAACCCCUUUAUGUAUUUUAGCCUUUUAGGUCACUACCUUAUUUUCUCCAAUGAAAGAAAAGAGUAACAAAGCUAAGAAAUCGAAAGAUUCAUGAAGUAGAAAUCUUGGGUAGAUCUACAAUUUUUCUUUCAACUUUUCUCAUUGUUCGUUCAAAUCAAAAGAAUGAGAAACCUAGCUCAGAUCUCAAUUGCUCGAUUUUCAUAUCUUGUUUUUUUAGCCAAGAACAGCCCUUUGAUUUCCUCUAGGUGAUUUCAUUAGAGAAGAAGGAGCAGGAGUAAGUAAAGAGGAUACAAAUAAUGAAAGGUGAAAGGUCGAAUCCUAAAUGGAGUUUGUACUGCAAAAAACAAGGAUGAUUCUUUGGAUUUAGGAUAAUUCUUUAAGUUGGUCCUCCUGUAGAUGUGCUUCAUGUAGCUGCAUAUAUCAUUUUGUUAUGGGUUUUUAGGUAUUUCCCAACGUCACCUUCUAGCUCCGCAUGUUUUAAGUCAUGCUGCUGACUUUUAACUGUAUCUUUUAGUAUUUGUACUUCGCUUUCUAUCUUUUCCAUUUUUUGGAAAAAAUAAUAAAUAGACAAUGACAAAAUUAGCUAUAUGCAAAAUGUGCUAUAUAGAAGAA
This is a long non-coding RNA of Solanum pennellii, 626 nucleotides long. RefSeq lists it as uncharacterized. NCBI's taxonomy places the organism in Eukaryota, Viridiplantae, Streptophyta, Magnoliopsida, Solanales, Solanaceae. The record is from RefSeq and is a predicted model, not a curated record. The transcript has 3 exons.